UCGAGCGUAGCGAGAAAGCGUUGCCGCAGGCAACGACCCGAAGGGCGAGGCGCAACGCGCCGAGUAAUCCUUCCCCCACCACCA
This 84-nucleotide small RNA is filed under the name Enterobacter asburiae. Its description in RNAcentral is "partial RtT sRNA". It matches the Rfam family "RtT RNA", at positions 48 to 130 of the family's 130-position model. Rfam says of the family: This family represents a bacterial cis-regulatory element known as RtT RNA. The exact function of RtT is unknown although it is thought that it may be involved in changing the cellular response in relation to amino acid starvation. The record is from RNAcentral. Lineage: Bacteria; Pseudomonadati; Pseudomonadota; Gammaproteobacteria; Enterobacterales; Enterobacteriaceae.